GCCAUAUCUCUCCGCCAUCUUCAGAAGGCCCAUGACUCUCACUCUCUAUCAGACCCCCGAAAUUUCCAGAAUGGAAAAGCCCCAAACGAAGAACCCUAACCCCAAAUAGAAGAAUUCCCAUAAUUUCCGUCGCCGAAAUCUCCCCGUCGUUGCUCCACCUCCAUUUCCUCCUCGUCCUCCUUUGGUUCUCGUUUGCUUGAUCUGGAACAAUUGGUGGCUGUGAGGGGUUGAAACCUCUGCCCUCUUCUUUUUCUUACUCAGAUGGGAAGUGAGAGGGCUUUCAUAUUGGAGAAGAAGACUGCAGCGUCAUUUGGAGAGUCUCCAGUAAAUGUUGGAAGACAAAACAUGCCAGGAUUAAUAUAAAUGGGAUUUUGGGCGACGAUGGUGGGCAAGUUCAUGGAAAAUUCGAUGUGGGCGACGGUGGGCAAUUUCUACAUCAAGAAAUUGUUGUCAAAGAUGAGAUUUU
This 466-nucleotide long non-coding RNA is filed under the name Rosa chinensis. RNAcentral describes it as "sRNA RchiOBHm_Chr5g0058281". The record is from RNAcentral. Lineage: Eukaryota; Viridiplantae; Streptophyta; Magnoliopsida; Rosales; Rosaceae.